AAUUUAUUAGUUUAAAUUAAAAACAUUACAUUUUCAAUGUAAAAAUAAAUUUUGAUUUAUAAAUUA
This 66-nucleotide transfer RNA is filed under the name Onthophagus vacca. RNAcentral describes it as "tRNA-Glu". The record is from RNAcentral. Lineage: Eukaryota; Metazoa; Arthropoda; Insecta; Coleoptera; Scarabaeidae.